RNAcentral lists this ribosomal RNA (477 nucleotides) under Triticum aestivum (bread wheat). RNAcentral's name for it is "partial small subunit ribosomal RNA". Lineage: Eukaryota; Viridiplantae; Streptophyta; Magnoliopsida; Poales; Poaceae. The record is from RNAcentral.
AUGGCCACCGGCUCCGGCUGCGUCCCCGGCGCUCUGCGCUUGGUUUCGUCGCGAGGACAGCCCUCCUCCUCCUCCUCCUCCCGCGCCCUGGUUCGUCUCCGCCCGCGCGUCGCCUCGUUCGCAGCCCCGCCUCCGCCUCUCCAUCGCGCCCUUCGUCCAGUUCCCGCCCCGCGCAUGACGCUCCGUGCUCCUCUUCCUCCUGCGAGGUGCCAGGGCCCCGCAACUCCGGAGACCCCCUUGGAGCCGCCAAGCCUUUGGCAAAAGGUGUUGCUGGCGUGUAAGCGUGUCUCCUGGAAGCACCUUACUUCACUGGCUCUGCUUAUUGGCUGCAUAGCAGUAGGUUACUUUGGAAACAAAGGGGACCCACGGGCCUUGCUGAUCAUUGAUAUACUUGACAAAGCAAAUAAAACAUACAAGCCUAGUCUGGAGUUCGCAGUUUUACUCAUAGCAGUUUUGGCUUCUCUCUCCUCGAGGUAG